Cyanistes caeruleus (blue tit) is the source of this 894-nucleotide non-coding RNA. The record is from RefSeq and is a predicted model, not a curated record. NCBI's taxonomy places the organism in Eukaryota, Metazoa, Chordata, Aves, Passeriformes, Paridae.
CCAAAUAUUGGCUUAGCCAGUUGUUCCCCAUUUGUGCAUUUGAUUUAGCCUUGAUCUAAAUCAAAGUGGAAAGUGUAGCUUUCCACUCAUCUUAUGUCGAGGGGUAAAUGAAAUCUGAACCAGCCCUUGAAUGUGGUGGUAAUCUGCCCAGUCUGAUGUCAGGCAUGACACUUAAAGUGUCAUUCUUUCCACUAUCCAAGUCAUUAGCAAAAAAAGCAGAACAAAAUUGGCCAAGAUCAAAUCCAGCUGAGCACCCACCUGACAAUAACUUCUCAUCAGCUGUAUUUCCUUUGGGCUUGCAGCAGUGGGGGAAGGAGUAUUGAAAAUGGGUUCUCUGAUGAACUACAGUGAUGUGUCUCACAAAGCAAAAGAACUAUGGGAACUGGUGCACAAGCAGUGAUAUAGUCUAAAAUAAGACUACAGCAGAUCAUAUUAUCACAGCAAGAAAAUAUGAGAAAAGAAGAUGGUAGAGGACUGUGUUUUCCAAUGUUCUGAGAAAUGCGCUAAGGAAAUCCUUAAGGAAAGUUCUGGAGAGCUCAGUCAGUCAUCUUCUUUUUGUGACCCCAGCCAUGUCUUCUCAAUAAAUUCACAGAAUGUGCUGAGAUGGAAGGAACUUAGAGGGAUCUUUGACUCCAGCUCCUGUCCCUGCAAAAACAAACAUGUUGAGGAAAACUAGGACUGUUUAAGUAACUGGCAUAUUAUUUUGGUCAGGAGAGUAAAGAAUCCGUCAACAACACAGUGACAAUGUGGCCUAAUAAAAGAGAAGUAACUUGUUAUAAGGAUCUGCUUUCUAAAUACAUAUUAAUGAGGCAAAAAGUACUGCUUUUGACUUGCAAGUAUGGCAACUAUUGUAAUGAAUGACUCUGCAUUCAAUAAAUUCUGAAUAGAAUAAAA